GGUGCCUACGGGGCGCAGCAGUGGGGGAUAUUGCACAAUGGGGGAAACCCUGAUGCAGCGACGCCGCGUGAGUGAAGAAGUAUUUCGGUAUGUAAAGCUCUAUCGGCAGGGAAGAAAAAAAUGACAGUACCUGACUAAGAAGCCCCGGCUAACUACGUGCCAGCAGCCGCGGUAAUACGUAGGGGGCAAGCGUUAUCCGGAUUUAAUGGGUGUAAAGGGAGCGUAGGCGG
RNAcentral lists this ribosomal RNA (230 nucleotides) under uncultured bacterium. RNAcentral's name for it is "partial 16S ribosomal RNA". It matches the Rfam family "Bacterial small subunit ribosomal RNA", at positions 333 to 578 of the family's 1533-position model. The record is from RNAcentral.